This is a non-coding RNA of Paramarasmius palmivorus, 87 nucleotides long. The record is from the annotation of a GenBank genome assembly. Lineage: Eukaryota; Fungi; Basidiomycota; Agaricomycetes; Agaricales; Marasmiaceae.
UGUGCCCGUAACUCAGUGGUAGAGUGUGAGAUUGCAAUAGCGGUUUGUAAUAUCUUGAAGCCGCGUGUUCGAACCACGCCGGCACUU